GGGGUUGUGGCUCAUCGGUAGAGCACUCAUCUUGCACAUGCGAGACCCUGGGUUCAAUCCUCAGCACCA
Molecule: non-coding RNA, 69 nt
Organism: Ictidomys tridecemlineatus (thirteen-lined ground squirrel)
Lineage: Eukaryota; Metazoa; Chordata; Mammalia; Rodentia; Sciuridae
Source: Rfam